This is a long non-coding RNA of Magnolia sinica, 1236 nucleotides long. RefSeq lists it as uncharacterized. The record is from RefSeq and is a predicted model, not a curated record. NCBI's taxonomy places the organism in Eukaryota, Viridiplantae, Streptophyta, Magnoliopsida, Magnoliales, Magnoliaceae. The transcript is spliced from 3 exons.
AAUGUCAUCAGAAUUUCGAGACCUCAGUUGUUUGUCAAGUUCUCUUGGAUGCAUCUUUCUCCUUGAACGGAUUUUAUUUUUUUAAUACUUAGUGAAUGUGUUAGUUUUCCAUCACUCUUGUUAUGGAUAGUACUGACAUGUAGAUGCUGGAUAGGAUGUUGAUAUUGUUGUUUAUUGUUUGAUGUCCAUUUUCUAUCAACGCUCUCUCUCUUUUAAAAAAAAAAAAAAAUUUAUUUGUGAAUAUGACUACUUCAUAGGCAUUGAAGCGGUGAACAGUAGCCUGGAGAUCAGGAUGCAUCAUUGAUUGGAUCUGUUAAAUAUGUAGUGUGUUAGGAAUUAAUUUUAUGCAUAUUAUAUGUGGUGCCAAUGAGGUUGAGUUCACUCUGAUUGAAAAGCAGAAUAUGUAGGUAUUUUCUUUGUUCCAGGCACAAUGCAGUUCUAUUUGCUAUUUUACAAAAUUUACCUUUUAACGUAAGAAAAAGGAUCCUAUCUGCACAAUUAGGUAGAGAAAAGGCAUGCAAUAGAAGGAUGUCAUUGUUAGCACUUACAUACAAGGCUUGUGGUUGUCCUUCUUCAUAGUCCACUUUCAGUUGCAAGAUCCUUCUAACCAGGAUGCCUUUGCUUUUGAGAGAUGAAAAGAGAAAAUGCUCAACUUCUCUAUUGCAUAUGGGAAAACUCCUGUUGGGCUGGCCCAUGAUUGGAAGUGGCGCUACCAAAGAGCAUGAAGGCAACAGGGUAUGAAAUAAUUCAUGAAGGUUAGGAAACCACUUGACUUUUGAACUUGGGCCUAAUAUAGACCCAUUGACAGUCCUAGCUCUAAUUUGCCUGUGUGUUAACAGACCUAAUCUACUUUUGAGGUGGGUUCCAGCCAAACUAAUUGGGUAGUGGGUUGGGUUGGAGCUAGAAAAUUGUCCAUUUAAAUAAUGGGUUAGGCUGGGGUUGAACCUACCUAAUGGAUCGAGCCAGAUGACCCUACGUAGGUUACUAAUGGGUUGAACCAGAUGACCUAUCUUAACUCCCUAAAACCCAAAACAAAAUAAAGAUCAAAAGUAUGGAUAAAUUUAUUGUCUGGACCCAAACUCAACAUGAUUUCUUUUGUCCAAUUGAUUGAACCUAAGCUCAUUCAAAUUGGGACAGGUCCAUCGGGUACCCACGGCUUCAGGUACCCAUUGGCAGGUCGGAUUUGGAUAAGAGGCCAGUAUCAACCCAUUAAAUUAGUGGGUUGGCUACUUUUGA